Molecule: non-coding RNA, 566 nt
Organism: Cinara cedri
Lineage: Eukaryota; Metazoa; Arthropoda; Insecta; Hemiptera; Aphididae
Source: the annotation of a GenBank genome assembly
UUCAGUUAUAAUACAACGACGGACGUACGACCACACGACGGCGCUGAUGGACACUUUUUCGAUCGUUGGAGUGUGAUAACAGAAGACACAGCAACUGAAGACCAGGUGAUAAACCCGAUAACAGCAACUAAUUAGCCACUUGGGUUGUACCGUUGUAUCGGUGAAGAGUGCAGUAAGGUCAACAUUGGGCCUGUGAUCAGUGGUGGGAACCGUUUGUUUUCGACCACACGUUCGGUACCCAACAUAUAUCAACAAAUCGGUUUAUCAUUAAUAUCUACAUUCGACUACAAUUAUUUACAAUACAAUGUUUUCUAAAAAAUAUGUCCGAAAAUAUUAAAAAUUAUAUUUAUUAAACAAAUUAUUUUAUUUUAUUUAUUAUUAAAAAUAUAUUUAAAAUAAUAAAAACGAUACCUUCUAAAACUAGAUCUAGAUUAUACGAAAAAUAAAAAAAUAUAUAAUAUGUAUUAUUAUUAAAGUUUAUAAAUGAGAAUAAAUUCAUAAUGAUAUUAUACCUUUGCGAAUCAAAUUUCAUAUUCAGAAGUGAAAUAAUAUUUGUUAGAAAAAAA